RNAcentral lists this ribosomal RNA (460 nucleotides) under uncultured bacterium. RNAcentral describes it as "partial 16S ribosomal RNA". It matches the Rfam family "Bacterial small subunit ribosomal RNA", at positions 338 to 795 of the family's 1533-position model. The record is from RNAcentral.
CCUACGGGAGGCAGCAGUGAGGAAUAUUGGUCAAUGGGCGUAAGCCUGAACCAGCCAAGUCGCGUGAGGGAUGAAGGUUCUAUGGAUCGUAAACCUCUUUUAUAAGGGAAUAAAGUGUGGGAAGAGUCCUGUUUUGUAUGUACCUUAUGAAUAAGGAUCGGCUAACUCCGUGCCAGCAGCCGCGGUAAUACGGAGGAUCCGAGCGUUAUCCGGAUUUAUUGGGUUUAAAGGGUGCGUAGGCGGCCUUUUAAGUCAGCGGUGAAAGUCUGUGGCUCAACCAUAGAAUUGCCGUUGAAACUGGGAGGCUUGAGUAUGUUUGAGGCAGGCGGAAUGCGGGGUGUAGCGGUGAAAUGCUUAGAUAUCCCGCAGAACCCCGAUUGCGAAGGCAGCCUGCCAGGCCAUGACUGACGCUGAUGCACGAAAGCGUGGGGAUCAAACAGGAUUAGAUACCCGUGUAGUC